This 469-nucleotide ribosomal RNA is filed under the name uncultured Nocardiaceae bacterium. Its description in RNAcentral is "partial 16S ribosomal RNA". Lineage: Bacteria; Bacillati; Actinomycetota; Actinomycetes; Mycobacteriales; Nocardiaceae. The record is from RNAcentral.
CACGUAGUUAGCCGGUGCUUCUUCUGCAGGUACCGUCACUCACGCUUCGUCCCUGCUGAAAGAGGUUUACAACCCGAAGGCCGUCAUCCCUCACGCGGCGUCGCUGCAUCAGGCUUCCGCCCAUUGUGCAAUAUUCCCCACUGCUGCCUCCCGUAGGAGUCUGGGCCGUGUCUCAGUCCCAGUGUGGCCGGUCACCCUCUCAGGUCGGCUACCCGUCGUCGCCUUGGUAGGCCAUUACCCCACCAACAAGCUGAUAGGCCGCGGGCCCAUCCUGCACCGAUAAAUCUUUCCACCACAACACAUGCAUGCUGUGGUCAUAUCCGGUAAUUACGACCCUAGUUUACCCCAAGUCUUAUCCCAGAGUGCAGGGCAGAUCACCCAGUCGUUACUCCACCCGUUCGCCGUCUCGUCGUACCCCGAAGGCCUUACCGCUAGACUGCAUGUGUUAACGCACGCCGCAGUCGUCGUC